GAUGAAGAACGUAGCGAAAUGCGAUAAGUAAUGUGAAUUGCAGAAUUCAGUGAAUCAUCGAAUCUUUGAACGCACAUUGCGCCCGCCAGCAUUCUGGCGGGCAUGCCUGUUCGAGCGUCAUUUCAACCAUCAAGCCCCCGGCUUGUGUUGGGGACCUGCGGCUGCCGCAGGCCCUGAAAACCAGUGGCGGGCUCGCUGUCACACCGAGCGUAGUAGAUUUUCAUCUCGCUCAGGGCGUGCUGCGGGUUCCGGCCGUAAAAAGCCUUAUUUACCCAAGGUUGACCUCGGAUCAGGUAGGAAGACCCGCUGAACUUAAGCAUAUCAUAAGCGGAGGA
Molecule: unclassified non-coding RNA, 335 nt
Filed under: soil metagenome
Description: partial contains 5.8S ribosomal RNA, internal transcribed spacer 2, and large subunit ribosomal RNA
Rfam family: 5.8S ribosomal RNA (bases 1-120)
Source: RNAcentral